GUCCAAGUAAUUUAACCAAAAUACUGGCCUUGUAAACCAAUAAUGAAGGAUCAAUCCUUCCUAGGACA
RNAcentral lists this transfer RNA (68 nucleotides) under Ailurops ursinus. Its description in RNAcentral is "tRNA-Thr". It matches the Rfam family "tRNA". Rfam says of the family: Transfer RNA (tRNA) molecules are approximately 80 nucleotides in length. Their secondary structure includes four short double-helical elements and three loops (D, anti-codon, and T loops). The record is from RNAcentral. Lineage: Eukaryota; Metazoa; Chordata; Mammalia; Diprotodontia; Phalangeridae.